Molecule: ribosomal RNA, 450 nt
Filed under: uncultured bacterium
Lineage: Bacteria
Description: partial 16S ribosomal RNA
Rfam family: Bacterial small subunit ribosomal RNA
Source: RNAcentral
GUGGGGAAUAUUGGACAAUGGGCGCAAGCCUGAUCCAGCAAUGCCGCGUGCAGGAAGAAGGCCUUCGGGUUGUAAACUGCUUUUGUACGGAACGAAAAGCCUGGGGCUAAUAUCCCCGGGUCAUGACGGUACCGUAAGAAUAAGCACCGGCUAACUACGUGCCAGCAGCCGCGGUAAUACGUAGGGUGCAAGCGUUAAUCGGAAUUACUGGGCGUAAAGCGUGCGCAGGCGGUUUUGUAAGACAGUGGUGAAAUCCCCGGGCUCAACCUGGGAACUGCCAUUGUGACUGCAAGGCUAGAGUGCGGCAGAGGGGGAUGGAAUUCCGCGUGUAGCAGUGAAAUGCGUAGAUAUGCGGAGGAACACCGAUGGCGAAGGCAAUCCCCUGGGCCUGCACUGACGCUCAUGCACGAAAGCGUGGGGAGCAAACAGGAUUAGAAACCCCGGUAGUCC